Molecule: non-coding RNA, 118 nt
Organism: Chishuiella changwenlii
Lineage: Bacteria; Pseudomonadati; Bacteroidota; Flavobacteriia; Flavobacteriales; Weeksellaceae
Source: Rfam
UCAUUUAUACAUUUGUCACAAUGAAAACAUUAAUUGCAAAUAACUGGUGGUGGUUUAUCGGACAACAAAACGUUGGUUCGUAAGACCUCUAUGUAGUUAUAUGUAGAAAAGGCUUGUC